Molecule: long non-coding RNA, 320 nt
Organism: Drosophila erecta
Lineage: Eukaryota; Metazoa; Arthropoda; Insecta; Diptera; Drosophilidae
Exons: 2
Source: RefSeq, a predicted model, not a curated record
CGAGCCCCAUGUAGUAGAGAUGCGAGCAUGAGGCGAUUUCUUUCUCGCGUGACCGCCGACUUUGAAGAUGUACUCAAACAACACAGACCAAUCAAUUGCACAUCUCUAGCAGACAGCCAACCAGGUGGCAGCGCUGUCAACUCAAAUACAUGUGGCAACCACGAGUCGGACAUUUUCAUAACGGAAGAAUGGUUGAAAAGUACCAGAAUAGCGCGCGCGAUUGGGAUAUUUUUUAAUAUCGAAUUUAACAAUGAAGUGUAGGAAUACAUAUAUGAGCACUGAUUUUAAGUGAUUGAAUACAUAUAAGAACAUAGAACAAA